UACGUAGGAUGCGAGCGUUGUCCGGAAUUAUUGGGCGUAAAGCGAACGUAGGCGGUUUGUUAAGUCGGCGCUUAAAGACCUGGGCUCAACCCGGGGAAUGGCGUGGAAACUGGCAGGCUGGAGGACGUCAGAGGGAAGUGGAAUUCCUAGUGUAGCGGUGAAAUGCGUAGAUAUUAGGAGGAACACCAGUGGCGAAAGCGACUUCCUGGGGCGUUCCUGACGCUGAGGUUCGAAAGCUCGGGGAG
RNAcentral lists this ribosomal RNA (245 nucleotides) under uncultured bacterium. RNAcentral's name for it is "partial 16S ribosomal RNA". It matches the Rfam family "Bacterial small subunit ribosomal RNA", at positions 524 to 768 of the family's 1533-position model. The record is from RNAcentral.